RNAcentral lists this long non-coding RNA (856 nucleotides) under Olea europaea (common olive). RNAcentral describes it as "long non-coding RNA (OEUR_LNC013775)". The record is from RNAcentral. Lineage: Eukaryota; Viridiplantae; Streptophyta; Magnoliopsida; Lamiales; Oleaceae.
UAGCUAAAACAAAAAGAUUUUGCCACCAAAGUAUGCAAAAUGAUUUCUAUAGUAAAUCUUUGUGGCUUGAAAUUGAACUAUUUUCGAAAUAUAUAUUGCACCCUCUCUCAAAAUUUCACAGUCAGACUUGUAAUUGAAGUACUUCUGAAGAUAAAAUUGUAAAUAUCUCCAACAAAGUAGUGGUCAAGGUAUUAGAAGAAGAAAAAUACCUCUCUAAGAAGCACAGCUUCUGGGAAUGGCCCGGUGGCUUCAUCAGGUUUAGGAACAAAGCGAUGGUUGCUCUCUCUUUCUUUGCUGUUGCCACUGUUAAUGGGGUGCCCCUGAGCCUCACCUUCUGUAAAGAAAGAGGUCAAAAGCCAGAAGUUCACUUACGCAGAUUUGCUGAAACCAAGAAACGAUAAUUCCCAUUUAGAGAGGAGCAGCCACUGGAAAAUGGGUUCACCAAUAAUUUUCCCAUUACAAAAAACCGUUAAUGGAAAGGAAAGGAAAGGGUUAAGAAAUCGACCUAGGCCUUGCGGUCAUUGAUCUCGAGCUUCAGGUCCUCUUUCGCCACGCCGGCUUCCGCAACGGAUCCUUCUUCUUCAUCGUCUUCGUCUCCUUCGCCCUCAUCCCCAGAGUGUAUGUCGAAGUCCGAUGUUAUCGCGAUCCUCUUCGUCCCUGUCCCCGUCCCCAAAGUCGAUGUCCGAGUCCAAUGGAAAUGGAGAUACAAAGGUAAAGCAAGUAUGAAGUGAGAGCCGCCCGGCAUAGGCUAGUGUUGUAAAGUACAGACGCGAGGUUAUCACACGUCAUGCCAGUUGCGGCGUGGGGUUCGAUUUUUAAAAUAUGGAAUUGGACUAUUUGUGGGCGUAAUAUACUC